This 404-nucleotide ribosomal RNA is filed under the name uncultured bacterium. RNAcentral's name for it is "bacterial SSU rRNA". It matches the Rfam family "Bacterial small subunit ribosomal RNA", at positions 29 to 412 of the family's 1533-position model. The record is from RNAcentral.
AACGAACGCUGGCGGCGUACUUAACACAUGCAAGUCGGACGAGAAAGGAAGCCUCGGCUUCUGAGUAAAGUGGCGUACGGGUGCGUAACACGUAAGUAAUCUACCCUGGACUCUGGGAUAACUCCCCCGAAAGGGGGGCGUAAGACUGGAUAGAGACCUGAGGUGCAAGCCUUGGGAGGAAAACAAGCCUCUGCAUCAUGCUUGUGGUUCAGGAUGAGCUUGUGGCCCAUUAGCUAGUUGGCGGGGGUAAUGGCUCACCAAGGCAACGAUGGGUAGCUGGUCUGAGAGGACGAUCAGCCACACUGGCACUGAGAUACGGGCCAGACUCCUACGGGAGGCAGCAGUGGGGGAAUUUUCCGUCAAUGGGCGAAAGCCUGACGGAGUGACGCCGCGUGGGGGACGAA